This 515-nucleotide ribosomal RNA is filed under the name uncultured bacterium. Its description in RNAcentral is "bacterial SSU rRNA". It matches the Rfam family "Bacterial small subunit ribosomal RNA", at positions 388 to 916 of the family's 1533-position model. The record is from RNAcentral.
CUAGCAACACCGCGUGUGCGAAGAAGGCCUUCGGGUCGUAAAGCACUUUUUGGAAGGAAAGGAAGGAAUGUACUUUCCAGAGUAAGUCUCGGCUAACUACGUGCCAGCAGCCGCGGUAACACGUAGGAGGCAAACGUUAUCCGGAUUUACUGGGCGUAAAGCGCGUGUAGGUGGUACUGUAAGUAGGGCGUGAAAGCUCCUGGCUCAACUGGGAGAGGCCGUUCUAAACUACAGAACUAGAGGAUGGUAGAGGGAGGUGGAAUUCCAGGUGUAGCGGUGGAAUGCGCAGAUAUCUGGAGGAACACCGGUGGCGAAGGCGGCCUCCUGGACCAUUCCUGACACUCAGACGCGAAAGCUAGGGUAGCAAACGGGAUUAGAGACCCCGGUAGUCCUAGCCCUAAACGAUGUAGACUAGGCGUCGGAAGCUUAAUCGCUUUCGGUGUCCCAAGCUAACGCGAUAAGUCUACCGCCUGGGGACUACGGCCGCAAGGUUAAAAACUCAAAUGAAUUGACGG